RNAcentral lists this unclassified non-coding RNA (207 nucleotides) under plant metagenome. Its description in RNAcentral is "partial contains small subunit ribosomal RNA and internal transcribed spacer 1". The stretch from base 1 to 46 matches the Rfam family "Eukaryotic small subunit ribosomal RNA", at positions 1786 to 1831 of the family's 1831-position model. The record is from RNAcentral.
AAGUCGUAACAAGGUUUCCGUAGGUGAACCUGCGGAAGGAUCAUUAGUUUGACAGGCCCGUUCGCGCGGUUACCUGAAAACCCCUCCUUACAGCGGCCCGGGGUUCGGCGGCAAGGGCGAAGCCCCUCGCGGGGCCGGAGGUCCGCCGGAAUCUCGCAAACCAUGCCUUGAAACUGCGGUCUGAGAGAAUGAUGAAUUAGCGAAAAC